RNAcentral lists this transfer RNA (65 nucleotides) under Loxodonta africana (African savanna elephant). It matches the Rfam family "tRNA". Rfam says of the family: Transfer RNA (tRNA) molecules are approximately 80 nucleotides in length. Their secondary structure includes four short double-helical elements and three loops (D, anti-codon, and T loops). Further hydrogen bonds mediate the characteristic L-shaped molecular structure. tRNAs have two regions of fundamental functional importance: the anti-codon, which is responsible for specific mRNA codon recognition, and the 3' end, to which the tRNAs corresponding amino acid is attached (by aminoacyl-tRNA synthetases). tRNAs cope with the degeneracy of the genetic code in two manners: having more than one tRNA (with a specific anti-codon) for a particular amino acid; and 'wobble' base-pairing, i.e. permitting non-standard base-pairing at the 3rd anti-codon position. The record is from Rfam by way of RNAcentral. Lineage: Eukaryota; Metazoa; Chordata; Mammalia; Proboscidea; Elephantidae.
GCGGUGGUGGUUCAGAAUUCUUGCCUUCCAUGCAAGACUCCUAGGUUCUAUUCCCAGCCAAUGCA